Molecule: long non-coding RNA, 1474 nt
Organism: Oreochromis niloticus (Nile tilapia)
Lineage: Eukaryota; Metazoa; Chordata; Actinopteri; Cichliformes; Cichlidae
Exons: 7
Source: RefSeq, a predicted model, not a curated record
CUUCAGAGGAGGCUCUUCUGAGGCUGCUCCCAGUUGUCAAAGCCUCCAACAAAGCUCUACUGGGUGGCUGUAACCUCUCAAACAGACAUUGUAAAGCUCUGUCCUCACUGCUCAACUCCCAGUCCUCUACUCUAAAAGAGCUGGACCUGAGUAACAAUGACCUUGAGGAUUCAGGAGUAAAGCUUUUCUCUGCAGGUUUGGAAAGUCCUCAUUGUAGACUGGAAAUUCUCAGUCUCUCAGGCUGUCUGAUCACAGAGGAAGGCUGUACUUCUCUGGCCUCAGUUCUGAGCUCCAAACCCUCCCAUCUGAGAGAGCUGGACCUGAGCUACAAUCAUCCAGGACCAUCAGGACUGCAUCUGUUGUUGGCUGGACUGAAGGAUCCAGGCUGGAGACUGGACACUCUCAGCUGUGAUGAGUCACGCCAUUCAACAAACUGCUGAAGAGUUGGAGAAAGAAUGUGAGCAGUGGAAAAUGAAUAUGGAGGCAGCCUAAAGAAAAAUAAGCGACUUGAGAGAGAGGGAGAGAAACAAUGCAGUGUGAGCACCUCUGUAAAAGCAGAUGGUUUGGCAGUCUUCCAGACAAUGCUACAGGAGUGGACAAUCCAGAUUAAUACGGAGGUCAGAUCAUGCAAUCUGCAGAGAAAGCGCAAAAACCCCCCCAAAUAUAGCUUAUUGAAGAGUUCCCAGGAGAGUCUAUUUUAUAAAGAGAACAUGGCAGCAUUGCUUAGGUUUGCAAAGCUGCAUCUGAACAAACCCACAAGACUUCUGGAACCAUUUCCUUUGGGCAGGGUGGAGCCUGCUGGAAUCCAAUGGUUGAGACCAGGAGGUCUGAGGAAGUAUUCCUGUCAACUCAAAAUCAACACAAACACAGUAAAUAGAAAACUCAAGCUGUCUGACAAGAAUAGGAAGGUGACACGUGUGGAGGAGCUUCAGUCAUAUCCUGAUCAUCCAGACAGAUUUGAUUAUUAUCAUCAGCUGCUGUGUAGAAAUGGUCUGACUGGUCGCUGUUACUGGGAGGUCGGGUGCAGAGGAAGAGUUUAUAUAUCAGUGAGUUACAGAAGCAUCGGAAGGAAAGGAGACAGUAAUGACUGUGUGUUUGGAGAAAAUAAUCAGUCCUGGAGUCUGAGCUUCUGUGGUGGUUCUGUUUCUGCAAGACACAAUAACAAAGAAAUAUUAUCCUUCUCCUCCUCCUCCUCCUCCUCCUCUGUCUCUAACAAAGUAGCAGUGUAUGUGGACUGUCCUGCUGGCACUCUGUCCUUCUACAGAGUCUCCUCUGACACUCUGAUCCACCUCCACACCUUCAACACCGCAUUCACUGAAACGAUUUAUCCUGGGUUUGGACUCUGGUCAGGUUCCUCAGUGUCCCUGUGCUGAGUUGAUUGUAAAGAGUGUCUCCUGUUAGAGAAACACUCUGACUGUUGAACAGAUAGUUCAGUCUGUACAUGUCUGUCUCUUUCACUCAGAAACACGUUUUC